UGGGGGAUAUUGCACAAUGGGCGCAAGCCUGAUGCAGCGACGCCGCGUGGGGGAUGAAGGCCUUCGGGUUGUAAACUUCUUUUGCUCUGAACAAGGCGCACUUUGGGGUGUGUUGAGUGUAGGGGUUGAUUAGCGCCGGCUAACUACGUGCCAGCAGCCGCGGUAAUACGUAGGGCGCGAGCGUUGUCCGGAAUUAUUGGGCGUAAAGGGCUUGUAGGUGGCUGGUUGCGUCUGUCGUGAAAGCUCAUGGCUUAACUGUGGGUUUGCGGUGGGUACGGGCUGGCUUGAGUGCAGUAGGGGAGGCUGGAAUUCCUGGUGUAGCAGUGGAAUGCGCAGAUAUCAGGAGGAAUACCGGUGGCGAAGGCGGGUCUCUGGGCUGUUACUGACACUGAGGAGCGAAAGCAUGGGGAGCGAACAGG
RNAcentral lists this ribosomal RNA (419 nucleotides) under bacterium. RNAcentral's name for it is "partial 16S ribosomal RNA". It matches the Rfam family "Bacterial small subunit ribosomal RNA", at positions 355 to 776 of the family's 1533-position model. The record is from RNAcentral.